UCAGCUUGUUGGUGAGGUAAUGGCUCACCAAGGCGUCGACGGGUAGCCGGCCUGAGAGGGUGACCGGCCACACUGGGACUGAGACACGGCCCAGACUCCUACGGGAGGCAGCAGUGGGGAAUAUUGCACAAUGGGCGCAAGCCUGAUGCAGCAACGCCGCGUGAGGGAUGACGGCCUUCGGGUUGUAAACCUCUUUUAGCAGGGAAGAAGCGAAAGUGACGGUACCUGCAGAAAAAGCGCCGGCUAACUACGUGCCAGCAGCCGCGGUAAUACGUAGGGCGCAAGCGUUAUCCGGAAUUAUUGGGCGUAAAGAGCUCGUAGGCGGUCUGUCGCGUCUGCUGUGAAAACCCGAGGCUCAACCUCGGGCCUGCAGUGGGUACGGGCAGACUAGAGUGCGGUAGGGGAGAUUGGAAUUCCUGGUGUAGCGGUGGAAUGCGCAGAUAUCAGGAGGAACACCGAUGGCGAAGGCAGAUCUCUGGGCCGUAACUGACGCUGAGGAGCGAAAGGGUGGGGAGCAAACAGGCUUAGAUACCCUGGUAGUCCACCCCGUAAACGUUGGGAACUAGUUGUGGGGUCCAUUCCACGGAUUCCG
This 592-nucleotide ribosomal RNA is filed under the name Microbacterium sp. RNAcentral describes it as "bacterial SSU rRNA". It matches the Rfam family "Bacterial small subunit ribosomal RNA", at positions 241 to 843 of the family's 1533-position model. The record is from RNAcentral. Lineage: Bacteria; Bacillati; Actinomycetota; Actinomycetes; Micrococcales; Microbacteriaceae.